AUACUUACCUGGCAGGGGAGAUACCAUGAUCACAAAAGUGGUUUUCCCAGGGUGAGGGUUAUCCAUUGCACUACGGAUGUGCUGACCCCUGAGAUUUCCCCAAAUAGAGGAAACUUGACAGCAUAAUUCGAGGUAGUGGGGGACUGUGUUUGCACACUCCCCUG
This is a small nuclear RNA of Prolemur simus (greater bamboo lemur), 164 nucleotides long. Its record names the gene U1. It matches the Rfam family "U1 spliceosomal RNA". From Rfam's summary of the family: U1 is a small nuclear RNA (snRNA) component of the spliceosome (involved in pre-mRNA splicing). NCBI's taxonomy places the organism in Eukaryota, Metazoa, Chordata, Mammalia, Primates, Lemuridae. The record is from Ensembl.